Molecule: ribosomal RNA, 1445 nt
Filed under: Curtobacterium luteum
Lineage: Bacteria; Bacillati; Actinomycetota; Actinomycetes; Micrococcales; Microbacteriaceae
Description: bacterial SSU rRNA
Rfam family: Bacterial small subunit ribosomal RNA
Source: RNAcentral
GACGAACGCUGGCGGCGUGCUUAACACAUGCAAGUCGAACGAUGAAGCCCAGCUUGCUGGGUGGAUUAGUGGCGAACGGGUGAGUAACACGUGAGUAACCUGCCCCUGACUCUGGGAUAAGCGUUGGAAACGACGUCUAAUACUGGAUAUGACUACUGGUCGCAUGGUCUGGUGGUGGAAAGAUUUUUUGGUUGGGGAUGGACUCGCGGCCUAUCAGCUUGUUGGUGAGGUAAUGGCUCACCAAGGCGACGACGGGUAGCCGGCCUGAGAGGGUGACCGGCCACACUGGGACUGAGACACGGCCCAGACUCCUACGGGAGGCAGCAGUGGGGAAUAUUGCACAAUGGGCGAAAGCCUGAUGCAGCAACGCCGCGUGAGGGAUGACGGCCUUCGGGUUGUAAACCUCUUUUAGUAGGGAAGAAGCGAAAGUGACGGUACCUGCAGAAAAAGCACCGGCUAACUACGUGCCAGCAGCCGCGGUAAUACGUAGGGUGCAAGCGUUGUCCGGGAAUUAUUGGGCGUAAAGAGCUCGUAGGCGGUUUGUCGCGUCUGCUGUGAAAUCCCGAGGCUCAACCUCGGGCUUGCAGUGGGUACGGGCAGACUAGAGUGCGGUAGGGGAGAUUGGAAUUCCUGGUGUAGCGGUGGAAUGCGCAGAUAUCAGGAGGAACACCGAUGGCGAAGGCAGAUCUCUGGGCCGUAACUGACGCUGAGGAGCGAAAGCGUGGGGAGCGAACAGGAUUAGAUACCCUGGUAGUCCACGCCGUAAACGUUGGGCGCUAGAUGUAGGGACCUUUCCACGGUUUCUGUGUCGUAGCUAACGCAUUAAGCGCCCCGCCUGGGGAGUACGGCCGCAAGGCUAAAACUCAAAGGAAUUGACGGGGGCCCGCACAAGCGGCGGAGCAUGCGGAUUAAUUCGAUGCAACGCGAAGAACCUUACCAAGGCUUGACAUACACCGGAAACGGCCAGAGAUGGUCGCCCCCUUGUGGUCGGUGUACAGGUGGUGCAUGGUUGUCGUCAGCUCGUGUCGUGAGAUGUUGGGUUAAGUCCCGCAACGAGCGCAACCCUCGUUCUAUGUUGCCAGCGCGUUAUGGCGGGGACUCAUAGGAGACUGCCGGGGUCAACUCGGAGGAAGGUGGGGAUGACGUCAAAUCAUCAUGCCCCUUAUGUCUUGGGCUUCACGCAUGCUACAAUGGCCGGUACAAAGGGCUGCGAUACCGUAAGGUGGAGCGAAUCCCAAAAAGCCGGUCUCAGUUCGGAUUGAGGUCUGCAACUCGACCUCAUGAAGUCGGAGUCGCUAGUAAUCGCAGAUCAGCAACGCUGCGGUGAAUACGUUCCCGGGCCUUGUACACACCGCCCGUCAAGUCAUGAAAGUCGGUAACACCCGAAGCCGGUGGCCUAACCCUUGUGGAAGGAGCCGUCGAAGGUGGGAUCGGUGAUUAGGACU